Molecule: ribosomal RNA, 433 nt
Filed under: uncultured bacterium
Lineage: Bacteria
Description: partial 16S ribosomal RNA
Rfam family: Bacterial small subunit ribosomal RNA
Source: RNAcentral
AACGAACGCUGGCGGCAUGCCUAACACAUGCAAGUCGAACGAGACCUUCGGGUCCAGUGGCGCACGGGUGCGUAACGCGUGGGAACCUGCCCUUAGGUUCGGAAUAACUCCCCGAAAGGGGUGCUAAUACCGGAUAAUGUCUUCGGACCAAAGAUUUAUCGCCUUUGGAUGGGCCCGCGUUGGAUUAGCUAGUUGGUAGGGUAAAAGCCUACCAAGGCGACGAUCCAUAGCUGGUCUGAGAGGAUGACCAGCCACACUGGGACUGAGACACGGCCCAGACUCCUACGGGAGGCAGCAGUGGGGAAUAUUGGACGAUGGGCGAAAGCCUGAUCCAGCAGUGCCGCGUGAGUGAUGAAGGCCUUAGGGUUGUAAAGCUCUUUUACCCGGGAUGAUAAUGACAGUACCGGGAGAAUAAGCUCCGGCUAACUCCGUG